This 253-nucleotide ribosomal RNA is filed under the name uncultured bacterium. RNAcentral's name for it is "partial 16S ribosomal RNA". It matches the Rfam family "Bacterial small subunit ribosomal RNA", at positions 524 to 776 of the family's 1533-position model. The record is from RNAcentral.
CACGGGGGGAGCAAGCGUUGUUCGGAAUCACUGGGCGUAAAGGGCGUGUAGGCGGUCAAGUAAGUGGAAUGUGAAAUCCCUCGGCUCACCCGAGGACCUGCAUCCCAAACUGCUUGGCUUGAGUAUGGGAGAGGAUGAGGGAAUUCCUGGUGUAGCGGUGAAAUGCGUAGAUAUUAGGAGGAACACCGGUGGCGAAAGCGCUCAUCUGGCCCAAUACUGACGCUGAGGCGCGAAAGCUAGGGGAGCAAACGGG